Lentisphaerae bacterium GWF2_57_35 is the source of this 60-nucleotide non-coding RNA. The record is from Rfam. NCBI's taxonomy places the organism in Bacteria, Pseudomonadati, Lentisphaerota.
GAGAGCCGGAUGCGGGAAAUCUGCACGUCCGGUUCGGAGGGAGGGGCGGCUCAACCCAAU